GCCCUAGGUGGCCGAGAACCCAGGCAUCGAGCUUUUAACUCGACCACAGUAAAUACUCCAGGACA
This 65-nucleotide transfer RNA is filed under the name Microcondylaea bonellii. RNAcentral's name for it is "Unio bonellii tRNA-Lys". Lineage: Eukaryota; Metazoa; Mollusca; Bivalvia; Unionida; Unionidae. The record is from RNAcentral.